CUUGUGUUUACGUGAACUCUAGUUUGCAUUUCAGAAGCCUUAUGGAAGGAUUCCUGUGGCUGACCCAGGAGUAGUAGGGAAUUUCUCCAUCAAAUAAUCUUGGUCUUGCUAACGUGCUUCCUAAAACUUGAUGGGAAAUGAAUAUUUUGAGCCACUGUUUUAGAGUAGAAGCCCAUUUAUCCAGUGGAAUCUGGUCCUGACAUUUAUCAACCAAAUCAAUGGACAAGUCUACUCUCUGCCUUCGGGAUUGGUUUGGAUCCUGACUGCUACAACAUGAAAAGUCCCUGGCACUAUGCCUGGCACCUAAUAAAUGAGAGUUUCUUCUUUAAAACGAUGCCUGCAAAUGACUUCCUCAAGC
Molecule: long non-coding RNA, 358 nt
Filed under: Equus caballus (horse)
Lineage: Eukaryota; Metazoa; Chordata; Mammalia; Perissodactyla; Equidae
Description: lncRNA (ENSECAG00000056812.1)
Source: RNAcentral